GCUGAAACAAAGAGCGCGGGAAUCAGAGAAGGACCGUUGCCGACCGUUGACGCGCAAUUGGAGACAAAGAGGCCGUUAUUCUUCGCCGCCUUCUAUUCGGUCACGCUCACCCUCUUCAAGGUUCUCGGUUAUGCUAAAUACUUGGAUUUUGCGAUCUGGCUACGCUCGUGUGCCAGAUUUUACGUGGCAACGAAAAAAAAUACGAAUAACGCAAAUUCGUUACUUGUUUGAUAGGUUUCCAAUUGGAGGGAAAAUAGAGAAGAAACGAGAGAAGAAUUUUCGAAAUUAUAAGAUUCGAAGUUACAGGAAUUUCAUUGUGUGAAGAAGCUGUGCAAGCGCUCUAUUACAUCGUUAGAAACGCGGAAUAUCAUGCUUCCGGUGACACUCUAUAAAUAAACAUCGACUGAAUGAAAUAACUGUUCGCAUCUCUAGCUAUAUUCAUGUGUUCCAUAAGUCGCAAGCAACGUUCACAUUGCACCAGCAGAGUGAAAAAUAAAUCGAGCAUAUAAUAAUUGCA
This is a long non-coding RNA of Apis cerana (Asiatic honeybee), 517 nucleotides long. RefSeq lists it as uncharacterized. The record is from RefSeq and is a predicted model, not a curated record. Lineage: Eukaryota; Metazoa; Arthropoda; Insecta; Hymenoptera; Apidae.